AUGCGAAACCGCCCUGCGGGGCGGUCGUCGGGACGUGGCGGUCCCGGCCUGAUGAGCAGCCGAGG
This 65-nucleotide non-coding RNA is filed under the name Desulfolutivibrio sulfodismutans. Lineage: Bacteria; Pseudomonadati; Thermodesulfobacteriota; Desulfovibrionia; Desulfovibrionales; Desulfovibrionaceae. The record is from RNAcentral. RNAcentral also lists the same sequence under 1 other name.